CCCCGUAACGGAAGGUUUUCUCUUCAGUUGAAAUAUUCUCAAAUAUCGCACGUUUUAUAUCGCUCAGUGUCUAAUUUCACUAAAUAUAUUGAAUUAGCACUUGAAGUUAAAGUUCCAGUUACGCAAAGGGUUAUUUUGAUUUAGAAAUAUAUAAUUCGCUAAUAUUCCUGGCGAGAAAUCUCGUCAUUCAUAAAAUACGUUCAAUCGGGCUGCGUCCGUAACGCCGGGAGCACAAAUUGAUAUUCUAUAGUGAAUGGACAUUUAGAAUUGUUUUUUUUUUUUGUGAGUUAACUGGGCUGCAGUAGAGUAAUUAGGAUUCUUGUCACUUGCUGAUUCAACUACACAAAAAUGUCGACGGAGGGAGGCCUUGCACCAAACAGCGAUGAUAUGCCGGUGGGAGGACCGAGGACGCCGCAGCAGAUUGCAGCUCAAAGGCGUUUGCAGCAAACGCAGGCGCAGGUCGACGAGGUGGUGGAUAUUAUGAAGACGAAUGUGGAAAAAGUGCUAGAGAGGGAUCAGAAGUUAUCGGAACUGGACGAUAGAGCCGAUGCUCUGCAGCAAGGAGCUUCACAAUUUGAACAGCAAGCCGGAAAGCUGAAGAGCAAGUUUUGGUUGCAAAAUCUAAAGAUGAUGAUAAUUGCUGCAGUCAUCGGCAUCAUUAUUUUGGCUCUAAUUAUCGCCAACUUUGUGUGAACAAGUUUCGGUAACCGAAGUUUAACUUAGCUGUUACAUUGUAAUAUUUUAAUAGUCUGUAGAAGUUAAUUGCAGAACCAAGAUUAUUUCAACUGCUUUCGAUACCAGCAGCUAUGAAAAAAAAAUUAGUUUAUAUGUUUGAAAUGUGGUAUAUUAUUAUUGUUGAAUGUUUUCAUAUGUUAUAUUGAACUUACCUAAAAUAUCGAUAUAUUAUUUAGACUAAACCUUAUAGUAUCUCUUUGAAAUGUUUUGAGAACACUAAUCUUAUCCUAUCACGAUAAUUGCCAUACGUAAUAGAAUAUUUUUAGAAGAUUUUUCUUUCUUAUAAUAUUUACCCUAGUAUAAUGCGGGCAAAAGUUGCUAUUUGCUUAGUCCGGGCUUAUCAAACCUAACCAUAUCUUUUUGAAUUGUGUUAAUAUAGUGUAUAAAUAUUUUUAUUAGUUUUUAUUUUGUAAAUAUUCGGACCAAUUUUUUGAAGUCCCAACGAACAGAGUAUCAAGUGUGAGAUUAUUUAUUUACUCCAGUUAACUACAAUUUGUCGAAAGAGCGCCAUCUAGUGACAGUAGAUGAAAGAAUCAUAGCGCUCUUUCGACGCCAUUCAAAUCACUUAACUUUUAUGCGAUCGAAUAGGUAAAAAUCUCACACUUAGCACUCAAACUUUGUUUAAUUUUUCUAGUAUUUUUGACAACUGUUAACUGCUCCUCGUUGUUCUAUAUUUUUUAACCUAGCCUUUGCUAAAAAGAUAUUAACCCUUACACAGAGAAAGCACUUAAUUAAUAAUUAAAUUUUAUCUUAGUUUAGCGUUUUCGUACUGUAGGCAUUCAUACGAAAUUUGUAUUCAAUGUUGUUGUUCAUUAAAUUAAAGGUAUAUUUGUAUGCUACUGCAUUUUACUAGAUCAUAUAUAUAAAUUUACGUGAAUUUAAUAUAUUUUAUGUGUGUAGCAUAGUGUUUAGCUAUAAUAGCAUAUUAUCAUAUUAUUUUAAAUAAAUAAUCGCGAGUUUUUCUCACUUAAAAUUGCCGUGUUGCAAAAACGUAAUUAGAUAAAUAACCUCCAACAAUUAUUGUAUUAAACCAUCAAUCUAUCUUUCAUAUUUAUUAUGCACUUUAAUUACUGUUUCUCGAUAGGAGACUUAGUAUAAAGAGUGUUAAAUUAGAUAAAUGUAAUGUAUUUUAAUUAGAAUAUAACAGGUGUUACUCAGGUCUUUUAGAUCGCCCAUCAAUAUUUACAUACAUUUAAAAAUAUAUGUUAACUGUCUAUUUAUCUAUUACAUAAUAUUUCUGUUAGAAUGAUUCGAUAGGUCUUAGAUACUUUAUACGUAGAUAAAGCUUCUGGUUGUUAGGUUCUAAGCACACCGUUUAUUAGGUACUUUAGUUGCAUGACAAGCGGAAGCGACGUUCUACUUGGUUUUAGUGAGUGUGCGCAAUGAUAUUUAGAAGUACUAUAAUAUCAUUGUGUGUGCGUUGCUGAAAAUGGCGGUUAACCGUUCCCGCUAUAUUUUCGGCAGCUGUCGCCUGUCACAGAGUAUCUAGACAUAUAAAUUGUAUAAGUUAAAGGUAAUAGGUACUUAAAUGUUUCAGAUAUGAGUGUCAAAUUUCAACUAUAUAAAAUGUGUGACCGUCUUACUAGCCAGUGAUUUUGUAGUAGCUACGAUCGCUGUAAUCGACAUAUAUUUUGUAGAAAGUUACAAAGUUAAUACAAUUUAUAGAUGUAACUAUAUUGAAAAAAUUCCAUAUGUGCUAAUUUAUUUAAAUGUGAAUUCGAAAAAUAUUUCAAUAUUUUUAAUGAUAAAUUUCUGCAUAUGCCGGAAACGUAUCCAGUCAUUCGCUUGCUUUACAAUUUUUAUUCUUUUAAUGAGGGAAGCUGGCUUUUCCAAAAAUCCUUAAGAUCAAUGUCAGAGAAUUUAUUAUAAAGAUACAUUACCAUAUCAAUAGAGUCUACCUAACUAUGAAUACCUACUACAAGGAAUGAAUAUCACAAGAAGAUACAUUUUAUUUACAGUCGAGACAUCACAUACUAUUUUAUUUUUUAAUCGCUUUAAUUGAAUUGAGUAUUAAUUUACAAAUCCUUUACACUAAUUUAAUGUUUUGUAUAAAUAAGAAAUGUAUCACUGUAAGGUAUAUUAAAAUACACCAGAGUCAUAAACUUGACUUAAAUAUUACCUAUGUAAGUAAGUUUUAGAGAAUUUUAAACAUAAUAUUCAUAUGAUUUUAGGUUUCUCGAAUAAGGCACUUACCUACUAUGUAAUUGGGUAUUUGACUCAAUUUUCAAUUACAAAUAAAAAUAAUGCUGUAUACUGUAAAUAAAAUAAAAUCAAAGGAGGAAAGUUAUAUAUUAUAGGCAUUUGGAGUGAGGAUCUUCCUUAUCUCGCAAAACAAAUAUUUGUAUUUAACUAUUGUGGCAAAACUCAGAAGAAAUGAUAAAAUCCUUAUAGCUUUUUUUAUUAUUUGAUGGAUUUAAUCAGUUUUCUUAUCAUUUUAUGUGUUAUUUAAAUCUAGUUUCAGAAAAAUAAAAUCUAUCUUUUGAUUUGAGUAUAAUACCCAAUAACAAUAAUUCCAUGAAAGUAUUGGAAAAGCGUAAGUUUUCAAAAAACAAUUGAUUUUCAUUUGUCAUAUGGAAACUUUGGAGUGAUGAUACAUUAUUUUCAAAUAUUUAGUUAUUGAACAUCAUAAAGCUUUUAUGGUCAUUUUGAAAGCUUUUUUCUUAAAUAUUUACAAAGAGAAGGCCCUGGGUAAUAAUUUAGUUCUUUCUUAUUUAUUGGUAAUUCAUUAUUGUCGAUCUGAGAUGAUUUUUUUUUCUUUAUGUAUUUAGGGGCUUUUAUAUGUACAUACAUAUCAGCUCCAUUAUAAUCUAAAUGCAUUAACACUAAAACAAAAGAAAAAAAAAUAAAAUAACUUAACAAACUAAAAAAAAGUUAAUAAAAGGAAAAGCAAGUUAUACAAUCUUCAACAAAUAAGACUUAUGGAUUCAAACAGAUUUAUCUGAGAUGAUAAGUUAUUCAUAUUACAACUAAAUUAAUAUAAAAAUUAAAUACAUAUUUGUCUUAUUAUUUACUUUAAUAAAUAUAUACAGUGGUAUAUUAUAUCGCUGUAUUAUGUAGUAUGCAUAGAGAUUUGAAGAUAUAAAUUAUUAAUUUAAACCUACGUACCCCUUAGAUAAAAGUGACAAGUAUAAUAUCUAAAUGUUUGUGUAUGAAAAAGUAGUGUAAGAAAAUUAUACCUAUAAUCUAUGUACUAUUGAUUAAUCGAACACAUUAUAAUAUGUUUAACGUAAAUAAAAUAUGGUACCCUACCCUGGCGUACCACUUAUAUGUUUAAAUUGUUAUGUACUAAUAGUACUGAAAUAAAUCGUAUUUACCUAUAGUAAUGUUUGAUGUACCUAAUUAAUGCUUCAAUAAAUAUAAAAUGAAUUUCA
Leptidea sinapis is the source of this 4106-nucleotide RNA transcript. It is a transcript of the gene named neuronal synaptobrevin, with no coding region annotated. Lineage: Eukaryota; Metazoa; Arthropoda; Insecta; Lepidoptera; Pieridae. The transcript is spliced from 8 exons. The record is from RefSeq and is a predicted model, not a curated record.